GAGUAACACGUGGGUAACCUGCCUGUAAGACUGGGAUAACAUUCGGAAACGAAUGCUAAUACCGGAUACGCGAUWUGRUCGCAUGAUCGAAUCGGGAAAGAUGGAGCAAUCUAUCACUUACAGAUGGACCCGCGGCGCAUUAGCUAGUUGGUGAGGUAACGGCUCACCAAGGCGACGAUGCGUAGCCGACCUGAGAGGGUGAUCGGCCACACUGGGACUGAGACACGGCCCAGACUCCUACGGGAGGCAGCAGUAGGGAAUCUUCCGCAAUGGACGAAAGUCUGACGGAGCAACGCCGCGUGAGUGAUGAAGGUUUUCGGAUCGUAAAGCUCUGUUGCCAGGGAAGAAUGCUUGGGAGAGUAACUGCUCCCAAGGUGACGGUACCUGAGAAGAAAGCCCCGGCUAACUACGUGCCAGCAGCCGCGGUAAUACGUAGGGGGCAAGCGUUGUCCGGAAUUAUUGGGCGUAAAGCGCGCGCAGGCGGCCUUGUAAGUCUGUUGUUUAAACUUGGGGCUCAACCCCAAGUCGCAAUGGAAACUGCAAAGCUUGAGUACAGAAGAGGAAAGUGGAAUUCCACGUGUAGCGGUGAAAUGCGUAGAGAUGUGGAGGAACACCAGUGGCGAAGGCGACUUUCUGGGCUGUAACUGACGCUGAGGCGCGAAAGCGUGGGGAGCAAACAGGAUUAGAUACCC
This 692-nucleotide ribosomal RNA is filed under the name Paenibacillus sp. Its description in RNAcentral is "bacterial SSU rRNA". It matches the Rfam family "Bacterial small subunit ribosomal RNA", at positions 108 to 787 of the family's 1533-position model. Lineage: Bacteria; Bacillati; Bacillota; Bacilli; Caryophanales; Paenibacillaceae. The record is from RNAcentral.